Molecule: microRNA precursor, 80 nt
Filed under: Notamacropus eugenii (tammar wallaby)
Lineage: Eukaryota; Metazoa; Chordata; Mammalia; Diprotodontia; Macropodidae
Description: miRNA (ENSMEUG00000016996.1)
Source: RNAcentral
AUGUGUAUGGGUAUAUGUAUAUGUUCAUAGAUAUCUACAUUUGUGUGCAUGUAUGUGUGCAUGUGUAUGUGUGUGUGCAU